This 505-nucleotide ribosomal RNA is filed under the name uncultured fungus. RNAcentral describes it as "SSU rRNA". It matches the Rfam family "Eukaryotic small subunit ribosomal RNA", at positions 248 to 756 of the family's 1831-position model. Lineage: Eukaryota; Fungi. The record is from RNAcentral.
GAUUCAUAAUAACUUCUCGAAUCGCAUGGCCUUGUGCCGGCGAUGGUUCAUUCAAAUUUCUGCCCUAUCAACUUUCGAUGGCAGGGUCUUGGCCUGCCAUGGUUACAACGGGUAACGGAGGGUUAGGGCUCGACCCCGGAGAAGGAGCCUGAGAAACGGCUACUACAUCCAAGGAAGGCAGCAGGCGCGCAAAUUACCCAAUCCCGAUUCGGGGAGGUAGUGACAAUAAAUACUGAUACAGGGCUCUUUUGGGUCUUGUAAUUGGAAUGAGUACAAUUUAAAUCCCUUAACGAGGAACAAUUGGAGGGCAAGUCUGGUGCCAGCAGCCGCGGUAAUUCCAGCUCCAAUAGCGUAUAUUAAAGUUGUUGCAGUUAAAAAGCUCGUAGUUGAACCUUGGGCCUGGCUGGCCGGUCCGCCUCACCGCGUGCACUGGUUCGGCCGGGCCUUUCCCUCUGGGGAGCCUCAUGCCCUUCACUGGGUGUGUUGGGGAACCAGGACUUUUACG